Pistacia vera is the source of this 509-nucleotide long non-coding RNA. RefSeq lists it as uncharacterized. The transcript is spliced from 4 exons. The record is from RefSeq and is a predicted model, not a curated record. NCBI's taxonomy places the organism in Eukaryota, Viridiplantae, Streptophyta, Magnoliopsida, Sapindales, Anacardiaceae.
CAAGCUCAGGAAGUUCAUUCUGAACUUAGGAAAUGGCUCCAUGCAAACACCAGUCCUGAGGUUGCUGAAACAACCCGGAUAAUCUAUGGAGGAUCUGUAAAUGGUGCAAACUGCAAGGAAUUGGCAGCUCAGCCUGAUGUUGAUGGAUUUUUGGUGGGUGGAGCUUCUCUUAAGCCGGAGUUCAUUGACAUUAUCAAGUCUGCCGAGGUGAAGAAAAGUGCCUGAAGCUUGCUGAGUGUGGCAAACUUUUGUUCUAUUUGACAUGGUUUAUAAGACUCUGGUUUUCAGCAGAGGAAAAGUGCCUGAGCUUGUUUCGGACAUAGUUCCUGAGCCUCUGAUUUUGGAAAUACUUUUUUGAGGGAAUAAGUUAAUGCUUUUGUAUUUCCAUAAGCACUUCGAACUGGAUUUUAUCUGUCAAUAAAUCAUUCUAUUUCCCUCACCAUGUGUAGUUUAUUCUUGGCUGCCUGUGCUUCUCUCUCUUUGUUUAUAUUAUCUCCUGGAUUCAUCGA